CACGUUAUUUAGGGCGCAUGGUGGAUGCCUUGGCAUGCUGAGCCGAUGAAGGACGUGAAAGGCUGCGUUAAGCCUCGGGGAGUUGUCAAUUGAGCGUUGAUCCGAGGAUGUCCGAAUGGGGAAACCUGGCCCUGGUUAUGUGGGGUUACCCUUCAGUGAAUUCAUAGCUGUUGUGGGGGUUUACGCGGGGAAGUGAAACAUCUCAGUACCCGUAGGAGGAGAAAAUAAUAAUGAUUCUGCUAGUAGUGGCGAACGAACGUGGAUGAGGCUAAACCGUGUGCAUGUGAUACCUGGUAGGGGUUGUGUGUGCGGUGUUGUGGGGCCUGAUUUUGUGUCAUCUACCAGUGGCACGCCCUUUUUUGCAUUGUUGUUAGGUGAAGUGGUUUGGAAUGGCCUGCCGGAGUAGGUGAGAGUCCUGUAGCUGAAGAUGAUGAUGUGUGGGUUGUUGGGUUGCCCGAGUAGCAGCGGGCUCGUGGAAUCUGCUGUGAAUCUGCCGGGACCACCCGGUAAGCCUAAAUACUCAGUGUGACCGAUAGUGUAUGAGUACCGUGAGGGAAUGGUGAAAAGUACCCCGGGAGGGGAGUGAAAUAGUUCCUGAAACCAUGUGCUUACAAUCCGUCAGAGCACCGUUUGUGUGUGAUGGCGUGCCUUUUGAAGAAUGAGCCUGCGAGUCAGCGGCAUGUCGCGAGGUUAACCCGUGUGGGGUAGCCGUAGGGAAACCGAAUCCUAAUGGGGUGAUAAGUGGCAUGUCCUGGACCCGAAGCGGGGUGAUCUACCCAUGGCCAGUGUGAAGCAGCUGUAAGAGGUUGUGGAGGCGCGAACCCACGUAGGUUAAAAACUGCGGGGAUGAGCUGUGGGUAGGGGUGAAAGGCCAAUCAAACUCCGUGAUAGCUGGUUCUCCCCGAAAUGCAUUUAGGUGCAGCGUCGUAUUAUAGCUUGGUGGAGGUAGAGCGACUGGUUGGUUGAGCGGGACUACAAUCUUAGCAAUGUCAGCCAAACUCCGAAUGCCACUAAUUGUGUUGUACGGCAGUGAGACUGUGGGGGAUAAGCUUCAUAGUCGAGAGGGAAACAGCCCAGAUCGCCGGUUAAGGCCCCUAAGGGUGUACUAAGUGGAAAAGGAUGUGGGAUCGCGAAGACAGCCAGGAGGUUGGCUUAGAAGCAGCCAUCCUUGAAAGAGUGCGUAAUAGCUCACUGGUCGAGUGGUUCNGCGCCGACAAUGUAGUGGGGCUCAAGUACACCGCCGAAGCCGCGGCAACAAUGUUUUGUUGGGUAGGGGAGCGUCGUGCAUGGUGUGAAGCAGUACCGUGAGGGGUUGUGGACUGUGUGCGAGUGAGAAUGCAGGCAUGAGUAACGAGUGUAAGGUGAGAAUCCUUACCGCCGGAUGACUAAGGGUUCCUGGGUCAAGUUCGUCUUCCCAGGGUGAGUCGGGACCUAAGGCGAGGCCGACAGGCGUAGUCGAUGGAUAACCAGUUGANNNUCUAGCGACCUCCACCCGUACAUGUGCGCCCAUGAUAAAGCACGGAUACUAACCACUGCGGAUACGCUACCUUUUGCUCUUUUUGAGUGUUGGUGGUGUUGAUGUCGUGGGGCCUGAUGUGUGGUUCAAGUGAUGGGGUGACGCAGUGAGGUAGCCGCGCCACUUAGUGGAUUGGUGGUGUAAGCGUGUAGGCCGUGUGGUAGGUAAAUCCGCCGCACAUAGAGGUUGAGGCGUGAUGCGUAGACCCUAAGCGGGUUGAUGGUGGUGAUCCUGUACUGUCGAGAAAAGCCUCUAGCGAGUGUGUGUAUGGCCCGUACCCUAAACCGACACAGGUGGUCAGGUUGAAGAUACUAAGGCGUUCGGGUGAACUGUGGUUAAGGAAUUCGGCAAAAUGCCCCCGUAACUUCGGGAGAAGGGGGGCCCUGUGAUGUGAAGACCCUGUGCGGUUGGAGUGUNAGUGGAGGUCGCUAGANNNUNGAGGGAAGCGACUGUUUAUCAAAAACACAGGUCCAUGCGAAGACGUUAAGUUGAUGUAUAUGGACUGACGCCUGCCCGGUGCUGGAAGGUUAAGAGGACCGGUUAGUAGUCUUUGACUGCGAAGCUGAGAAUUUAAGCCCCAGUAAACGGCGGUGGUAACUAUAACCAUCCUAAGGUAGCGAAAUUCCUUGUCGGGUAAGUUCCGACCU
RNAcentral lists this ribosomal RNA (2163 nucleotides) under insect metagenome. Its description in RNAcentral is "bacterial LSU rRNA". It matches the Rfam family "Bacterial large subunit ribosomal RNA", at positions 1 to 1989 of the family's 2925-position model. The record is from RNAcentral.